Molecule: small nuclear RNA, 104 nt
Organism: Jaculus jaculus (lesser Egyptian jerboa)
Lineage: Eukaryota; Metazoa; Chordata; Mammalia; Rodentia; Dipodidae
Source: Ensembl
GUUCUCGCUUCAGCAGCACAUAUAUUAAAACUGGAACAAUAAAGAGAUUAGUAUGGCCCUUGUGCAAGGAUGGUACAUGAAUUUGUGAAGCAUUCCAUAUUAUA